AUCCCCUUAAUCCUUUUCAAUUUUUUUCACCAAAACACGCACCAAACAAACCUCUCUGUCUCUAACAUUCCCCCUUCAUCGCAACCAGCUAGAAUAUCCAUUUUUGGCUAAGGUUCAGAUGCAUUUUUGCUUUCCCAGAGCUUAUUCGCCUAUUAAUGACAAAUAAUUUAUUGGACCUUGUCUUCUUCCUCAGUUCCAAACGGUAACUUGAUGCUUUUCAAUUUCUUUGGGAUUUUAUCUUUUCUUUUCCAAUGGAAAUGGACAGAUUUAAAAGAAUUCUUUUCAAAUCCAGAUUUUUAAACGAAUUCUCAAACAAAUUUCAAAUUGGACAUUGUCCCACAUUGGUACUUUGACAAAAUAUUAGGUUUUUGGGGUUCUAUAAAUUGAACACCCAUUUCUUCAUUCAAGGAGAGGUUUUUUUAACAACCGCAAUAAGUUUGAAAACACCAAAGUUCUAAAAUUUUCAAUUACUUGGCUGUGAACAAGAAAUUUCUCUUGUAAGUUGAAAUCUUGAAUCAUCAAAACUAGUUAAAACAUUUUUUGAGUUAGAGUCAAUUCGUCGUCGUUGGUGAAAUGUCGAAGGUGAUCAGCCACUCUCGUCGCCCCCGUCGCUGCUUGACAAAAAGGUAAUUCGCAAAUCCCUUCUCUUUAUUUUCCAUUUUCUUUUAAUUUCGGAAUUUGUGUAGUGUUAUAGAGGUUUUUUUUCUCUUCAAUUUGUUCUGUUUAGUCUACUUCAUUUAAGUUAAUUUUAGCUAUAUAGCUUAAGGUUGAUAUGAAGGCUGCGUUACUUUGAGUAAUGCAUGUGUUUAAGCUGUAAACUGAUUUGCUAUUAGCUGUUAGUAUGAUUUAAUUCUAGUUCAGAAAGUUUGGUUAAUAUCGAUAUAGUUAUGAACUAGGUGCUUUAACAUUCAAAUGUCCACUGCCUAGGCCUAAUUAUACAAAAAUAUCCAUUGUUUUAGUUUGUUGAAAUAACUACCUGACCCUUGUGGGUUAACAGUCCUUAGAUAUCAACCGUUGUUUGGUUAAACUUCAGUUUAUUUCAAAGAAAGGAAAAACAAAUAACUAUUGGUUCGUUCAAAUUUUUCUGAGUCUACCUCUAGUUUUUCCCUGACUUUCAAAGGAUAUUGUAGACAACUAUGUGUAAUUAUCUAUGUUAGCUCAAUGACUUGGUGUAUUUAAUAUUAAAAUCUUAAAAUGGUAACUGUCUCUUGAGGGAAAGAAAAGAAUGAGUCUCAAGUAUGAAAUGAUCAAAGGUCUUCUUAUAGUUAUGCUAAAUCAAGUCUGGAAUGCAAUAGAUCAUGUCUAUUUCUUCUUUGCCUAUUGUCAAUUCCUCUAUAUGUCCGAUGCUCCUCCUAAACUGUUUAAUAAGUUUCAUGAUCAUCUUUAAAUCUUCGUUUAUUAUCCAAAUUGGAACAUGCUUCAGUUGUAGCUUAAGGGAUACAAUUUGUUUUCAAAAAGAAA
Long non-coding RNA from Lycium ferocissimum, 1461 nucleotides. RefSeq lists it as uncharacterized. The transcript is spliced from 3 exons. Lineage: Eukaryota; Viridiplantae; Streptophyta; Magnoliopsida; Solanales; Solanaceae. The record is from RefSeq and is a predicted model, not a curated record.